This 254-nucleotide ribosomal RNA is filed under the name uncultured prokaryote. RNAcentral describes it as "partial 16S ribosomal RNA". It matches the Rfam family "Bacterial small subunit ribosomal RNA", at positions 524 to 776 of the family's 1533-position model. The record is from RNAcentral.
UACGGAGGGUGCGAGCGUUGUUCGGAAUUAUUGGGCGUAAAGCGCGCGUAGGCGGCUCGGUAAGUCUCACUGUGAAAGCCCGGGGCUCAACCCCGGGAGGCCAGGGGAUACUGCUGGGCUAGAGACAGGUAGAGGCUGGUAGAAUUUCGGGUGUAGCGGUGGAAUGCGUAGAGAUCCGAAGGAAUACCGGAGGCGAAGGCGGCCAGCUGGGCCUGAUCUGACGCUGAGGUGCGAAAGCGUGGGGAGCGAACAGG